This 2582-nucleotide long non-coding RNA is filed under the name Homo sapiens (human). RNAcentral describes it as "HSALNT0332721". Lineage: Eukaryota; Metazoa; Chordata; Mammalia; Primates; Hominidae. The record is from RNAcentral.
GACCAUUUGAAGGUUAAGGUUAAGGUUUAAGCUUAAGAAUACUGAGACCCAAGAUGUUAAAAAUAACUUACAAACCUAGUAAAUGGUGGAUCCAGGAUUACAACUGAAGUUGGCUUAACUCCAAAGCUCAUGCUGUGAAGCACCAUGCUGCACUGUCUUUCAGAAGAGCAAAGCUUGCAGGGACCUCUCCUUGAUGGGUCGAAAGGUCUUUUGUACAAAUAAUUUGGGGGGCCCGUGGGAAGAAGAUAUUUGAAUAACGUGCCACAAGUCCAAAUCCACCACCUCUACAGAGCUCUUUGCCUUUGGGCAUGUCUCUUUGCUUCUGAUUCCCAUCACUUUUUCUCUUUUCUUUUACUUUGAUUGACUGUUCCAAUAGCCCUAUCAGCAUUGUGGGACUUAACUGAGUAGCAGAGCCUGGAAACACCUCAUUGCAUCUGAAACCUAGAGAAGACGCUGGAUGUAAGACACAUACUUACAGCAACAGCCACUGACAAGAUUAUGAUACAGAAUAGAGAAGAGGAGCAAAUGCAAAGAUGAUUCCUUUGACAAGAUGAAAAACGGUACUCUAAUACACCUGCUUUGUAAGUCUCUAUUUUCACACAUAGCAGGCUUGUUUACAGCUGGCUAAAGAUCUGCUGCACAGCAGCACUGACCCCACUGCAUUCUUUCUACACCAAUAAAUUUCCUCUGCUGCCUCAUUCAGAUAGCCUAGCUGCUGUUUAGAGUGAAAUUCUUCCACCUUCAAGCAAGAAUCAGAGGUUCUUUCAGGCUUCACACAAUAAUAUGAUGAAGAGGCACGCUGAAGGUGAAUAAACACUAAUUUGUUUGCGUGUGAAUAAGGCAUCAUUUAUGUAGCAACUUCUACAGAUUGGGUACUGGAGAUUUUUCCAAAACGAAUAAUGCUCCUGCUUUUGAGCUUACAAUGUAGUAGGAAAGAUAAACAGAGUGUGAUAAGUGACAUCAUAAAGGCACAAACAAAUUCCUGUGAGCACAAAGUGGAAAGCCCCUGAGCUGGAAAAUAGCACUGAGGUGGUUUCAUGAAAGAGGAAGCAGCAAGGCUGGGCCUUGAAGAACGUGAAGGAGUCACCCAGCUAGAGAGGGCAGGAGGGUGUUCCACGAAGUACAAACAUCAUGAACAGAAAGUCAAAGAGUGAAAGUGAAGGGAGGAUUGGGGAGCAGUGAACAGACAAUGUGAGAGAGCUGCGGCACCAUGGAGAAGAGUAAUGAGAGGGACAUCCUGAAGGAAAGACAAUAUGAAGGACUGUCGAUGCCAAAGAAAGGACUUUCAGCCAUAUGCACGCAAUGGGGAGCAAUGCAAGAUUGUCAACCAAGAGACUGAGGUGACCAGAUCUGCUUCACAGCAGCAGCAGCAGCAGUGUACAUGGAAGAUUAGAGGACCGAGAGAGAUGCAUGUCAGGAAAAUCAGCUAACAGACUCUAAAAUAACUAAGACUUGAGAAAGAUCUGGAUCAAAGCUUUAACAGCAGCAAUAAAGAAAAAAGAAGAGACAUUUCUGUAAUCAGAUCUAGAAAAGUUGAUGACCCCCAGGAUAACAGCCAUGAAAGUGCUGCUACCACAAACAUGAGGAAACUUCUGUUAGGAGUUCAACCUUCAGAGAGGACAGCUGGCAGUGCAAGAUGGUGACAGCCCUGCAAUCAGGAGAAGAAAGUCAUGAGAGUAAGGAAUGAUGGAGAGGGAUGAGAGCGUUUUCUAGGAUUUGAAGAGUUAAGAGACUCUGAAUAAUUGGCAGGGGAAGCUGGGAUGGAGAACAAAGUAGGAGAAGAAUCAUUUGCUGUGAACUCUGUAUUUGGAUUCCAUUUUUGAUGAUCUUUGAAAAUGGGAAUAAAGGAUUUGGGUUAUUUUUAAAUUCCUUUGGAGGCUAGACAGUUUCCCUAAAUUCAGCAUUCCCUUUGAAACUAGACCGCAUGAGUCUCUGGUUUGUGCAGGGUUACCCUGGGUCAGAGUUGCCUCUAGAAUAAGCAAUGGGUAAGUCCUUGAGCUGUUGGAAGCGCAUGGAGUGCCUGACAGUCUUCUGCACAUUAGGCAUAGGGGACCCUUUUGGGGGAAGAGGAUGAAGAAUAGGAGGGGUGAUGGGAGCAUGUUGGGUUGUGCCAGUUUAAAGAGAACGUGAAAAAGAUAAGCAAGCAAAUGAGGCUGCAAAAGAGGAAUCAUGGGAGAAUGAGGAAAAUUAAGUGAUCAUAGCAUCCCUGAGGUCAAAAGAGCAGGGGUUUCAGGGAGAGUGCCAGGGCAUUAGUUAAUACAAAGAAGAGACCACUGGCUUUGCACCCUGGAGGUCAAUGCUAUCCUCUUCCUAAUCCAUUACUAUAGAGUGAUGGGGACCAGCGUUUGUGUAUUGAGGAGAUAAUGAGAAGUGUAAAUGGAAAACAACCAGAAGAUAACAAGGAUAAACAACUCUUUCAAAAAUAUAGUCACAGGUCACUUAACAGGACUACAUUCUGAGAAAUGCACUAUUAGACAAUUUUAUUGUUGUGCGAACAUCAACAGAGUAGCUUACACAAACCUAGAUGGUGUAGCCUACUAGGCUAGAAGGUGUAGUCUAUUGAUCCUAGGCUACAAACCUAC